RNAcentral lists this ribosomal RNA (270 nucleotides) under uncultured prokaryote. RNAcentral's name for it is "partial 16S ribosomal RNA". It matches the Rfam family "Bacterial small subunit ribosomal RNA", at positions 524 to 794 of the family's 1533-position model. The record is from RNAcentral.
CACGUAGGGGCGAGCGUUGUCCGGAAUUAUUGGGCGUAAAGAGCUUGUAGGCGGUUUGUCGCGUCUGCUGUGAAAAUCCGGGGCUCAACCCCGGACUUGCAGUGGGUACGGGCAGACUAGAGUGUGGUAGGGGAGACUGGAAUUCCUGGUGUAGCGGUGAAAUGCGCAGAUAUCAGGAGGAACACCGAUGGCGAAGGCAGGUCUCUGGGCCACUACUGACGCUGAGAAGCGAAAGCAUGGGGAGCGAACAGGAUUAGAUACCCCGGUAGU